Molecule: ribosomal RNA, 546 nt
Filed under: uncultured bacterium
Lineage: Bacteria
Description: bacterial SSU rRNA
Rfam family: Bacterial small subunit ribosomal RNA
Source: RNAcentral
AAUAGAUACCCGGGUAGUCCACCCCGUAAACGUUGGGAACUAGUUGUGGGGUCCAUUCCACGGAUUCCGUGACGCAGCUAACGCAUUAAGUUCCCCGCCUGGGGAGUACGGCCGCAAGGCUAAAACUCAAAGGAAUUGACGGGGACCCGCACAAGCGGCGGAGCAUGCGGAUUAAUUCGAUGCAACGCGAAGAACCUUACCAAGGCUUGACAUACACGAGAACACCCUGGAAACAGGGGACUCUUUGGACACUCGUGAACAGGUGGUGCAUGGUUGUCGUCAGCUCGUGUCGUGAGAUGUUGGGUUAAGUCCCGCAACGAGCGCAACCCUCGUUCUAUGUUGCCAGCACGUAAUGGUGGGAACUCAUGGGAUACUGCCGGGGUCAACUCGGAGGAAGGUGGGGAUGACGUCAAAUCAUCAUGCCCCUUAUGUCUUGGGCUUCACGCAUGCUACAAUGGCCGGUACAAAGGGCUGCAAUACCGUGAGGUGGAGCGAAUCCCGAAAAAGCCGGUCCCAGUUCGGAUUGAGGUCUGCAACUCGACCUCA